This 287-nucleotide small nuclear RNA is filed under the name Rattus norvegicus (Norway rat). RNAcentral describes it as "7SK RNA". It matches the Rfam family "7SK RNA". From Rfam's summary of the family: 7SK was discovered as an abundant small nuclear RNA in the mid-70s but a possible function has only recently been suggested. Two independent studies have found that 7SK RNA binds the CDK9/cyclin T complex (known as elongation factor P-TEFb). Lineage: Eukaryota; Metazoa; Chordata; Mammalia; Rodentia; Muridae. The record is from Rfam by way of RNAcentral.
AGUUGCCAUGGCUGCGACAUCUGUCUCCCCAUUGAUCGCCAGUGUUGAUUCGGCUGACAUGGCUGGCUAGGCAGGUGUGCUCUUCCUCUCUCACUGCUCCAUGUACAUCCCUCCAAAAGUUGAAGAAGAUGACCAUCCAGGAAUAGAGGAGGGUCUUCAGUCAAGGGUAUAUGAGUAGCUGCGCUCCUCUGCUAGAAUCUCCAAACAAGUUUUCUUUUAUUUCUAAAAGUUAAGUUAACCUGGACUGCCUCUCAGAUACUGGUUCACCAACCUGGCAAUAGACACCA